This 251-nucleotide ribosomal RNA is filed under the name uncultured prokaryote. RNAcentral describes it as "partial 16S rRNA". It matches the Rfam family "Bacterial small subunit ribosomal RNA", at positions 525 to 775 of the family's 1533-position model. The record is from RNAcentral.
ACGAAGGGGGCUAGCGUUGCUCGGAAUCACUGGGCGUAAAGGGCGCGUAGGCGGCUUUGUAAGUUGGGGGUGAAAGCCCGUGGCUCAACCACGGAAUGCCCUUCGAUACUGCUUGGCUUGAGUGUGGUAGAGGUUGGCGGAACUGCGAGUGUAGAGGUGAAAUUCGUAGAUAUUAGGAGGAACACCAGUGGCGAAGGCGGCCAACUGGACCAUAACUGACGCUGAGGCGCGAAAGCGUGGGGAGCAAACAG